This 408-nucleotide ribosomal RNA is filed under the name uncultured Bacillus sp. RNAcentral describes it as "bacterial SSU rRNA". It matches the Rfam family "Bacterial small subunit ribosomal RNA", at positions 66 to 464 of the family's 1533-position model. Lineage: Bacteria; Bacillati; Bacillota; Bacilli; Caryophanales; Bacillaceae. The record is from RNAcentral.
GAUGACAGAGGAGCUCCUCCCUCUCGAUUCAGCGGCGGACGGGUGAGUAACACGUGGGCAACCUGCCCUGUAGAUUGGGAUAACUCCGGGAAACCGGGGCUAAUACCGAAUAAUCCUUCGGACCUCAUGGUCCGAUGUAGAAAGGCGGCUUCGGCUGUCACUACAGGAUGGGCCCGCGGCGCAUUAGCUAGUUGGUGAGAUAACGGCUCACCAAGGCCACGAUGCGUAGCCGACCUGAGAGGGUGAUCGGCCANNNUNUNUACUGAGACACGGUCCAGACUCCUACNGGAGGCAGCAGUAGGGAAUCUUCCACAAUGGACGAAAGUCUGAUGGAGCAACGCCGCGUGAGUGAAGAAGGUUCUCGGAUCGUAAAACUCUGUUGUGAGGGAAGAACAAGUACCGGAGUUA